Molecule: ribosomal RNA, 116 nt
Filed under: Petromyzon marinus (sea lamprey)
Lineage: Eukaryota; Metazoa; Chordata; Hyperoartia; Petromyzontiformes; Petromyzontidae
Source: RNAcentral
GGCUCAGGCUACAUCACCCUGAAUGCCCCAGAUAUUGUCAGAUCUCGGAAGCUAAGGUGGAGUGAGCCUGGCUAAUACUUGGAUGUAGAAUAAGGGAACACCAGGUGUUGUAGGCU